UUAUUUAAUAGAAUUCGCUAAACAGAUGAAUAGUUAUACAGUGCAUAAGGAUUUAUGUAGGCUCUAUGUAACGUUGCGUAAAUUCCUAUUUAUAAACAGUUCUGCUAUACAUUUUAGUUAUACAAUGCUUAUGUCAAAAAAAGUACCAAAAUGGAGCAAUCUAUUCCAUUUAUCUGUCUAUCAAAUCAGCUGUUUGUCAUAACAAACAAAAUAUAGAAAUUUGUGUUGUGCUUUUGUUGAAAAUGGAAUCGAAAACAAAAAGGUCUCGUACCCCGAAUUGGGAUUCGUCCGAUAAAAUACUCCUUCGACAGCUAAUAGAGGACAAAAUUCAAAUAAUCGAAAACAAAAAUGUUGACACCAACACAUCCCGCAUGAAACGAGAUGCCUGGCGUGAAAUAACCGAUAGUUUCAACGGUUUAAGCGCAACAAUGAGGGAAACAUCUCAAAUGCUUGAAGAUGCUUGAGAUGGAAAGGAGACACAAAGAAGAAAUGCACCAGCUCAAAAUGAAAAAAUUGGAAGAGCACUUUUCUCUGUAGUGAUAUUUUUGUAUUCGUGAAUUUGUUUUUGUUUUUUAUAAGUGUUCUUUUUGUUUCAUGUUUUUCUUU
Long non-coding RNA from Eupeodes corollae, 606 nucleotides. RefSeq lists it as uncharacterized. The record is from RefSeq and is a predicted model, not a curated record. NCBI's taxonomy places the organism in Eukaryota, Metazoa, Arthropoda, Insecta, Diptera, Syrphidae. The transcript is spliced from 3 exons.